Non-coding RNA from Danio rerio (zebrafish), 488 nucleotides. Lineage: Eukaryota; Metazoa; Chordata; Actinopteri; Cypriniformes; Danionidae. The record is from RefSeq and is a predicted model, not a curated record.
GAGUCCACAGUCACAAUAACAAGAUCAUUGGGCUGUCCCCUAAUUGUGGUGAGCUACAUGUUUAGUCUCUUAUGUGCUAAACAUUAUGUAGCCUAAGGAAGCAGCCCUGACUCUGGAGUUUAUAUGAAGGAGCAUGCUUAGUAACUAUCCAGAAUGUAGGUCCAAAGCAGAAAAAAAGAGCACCAAGCAGAAACAUACCAUCUAAACUCCUUCGAUUCCUGUCAGACCAGAAAGACUUUCAGAAUCCUUGGAAGAUUUAAAGCCAUUGAAGUAUCAGUAUUGGAGCGGAAGAAAACCCAGUUGUAUCGUCUGUUUCCUGCCAUCUUGCAGUUUAACCUGGUUUCUUAAUGUAAAGUACUUGUAAUUUGCCCACUUGUCCUCAAUUAUCUUAAAGCUAACAUUUAAAACUAAUUUGCUAUGAGAUUAUUUGCCAAGACCUCUCACUGUGUGAUUCACAUGUCAAUAUGUAUUAUUGUGUGUAUAACUAG